UUAAAUUGAAGAGUUUGAUCAUGGCUCAGAUUGAACGCUGGCGGCAGGCCUAACACAUGCAAGUCGAACGGUAACAGGAAGCAGCUUGCUGCUUCGCUGACGAGUGGCGGACGGGUGAGUAAUGUCUGGGAAACUGCCUGAUGGAGGGGGAUAACUACUGGAAACGGUGGCUAAUACCGCAUAACGUCGCAAGACCAAAGAGGGGGACCUUCGGGCCUCUUGCCAUCAGAUGUGCCCAGAUGGGAUUAGCUAGUUGGUGAGGUAACGGCUCACCAAGGCGACGAUCCCUAGCUGGUCUGAGAGGAUGACCAGCCACACUGGAACUGAGACACGGUCCAGACUCCUACGGGAGGCAGCAGUGGGGAAUAUUGCACAAUGGGCGCAAGCCUGAUGCAGCCAUGCCGCGUGUAUGAAGAAGGCCUUCGGGUUGUAAAGUACUUUCAGCGGGGAGGAAGGUGUUGUGGUUAAUAACCGCAGCAAUUGACGUUACCCGCAGAAGGCGACAAGCGGUGGAGCAUGUGGUUUAAUUCGAUGCAACGCGAAGAACCUUACCUGGUCUUGACAUCCACAGAACUUUCCAGAGAUGGAUUGGUGCCUUCGGGAACUGUGAGACAGGUGCUGCAUGGCUGUCGUCAGCUCGUGUUGUGAAAUGUUGGGUUAAGUCCCGCAACGAGCGCAACCCUUAUCCUUUGUUGCCAGCGAUUAGGUCGGGAACUCAAAGGAGACUGCCAGUGAUAAACUGGAGGAAGGUGGGGAUGACGUCAAGUCAUCAUGGCCCUUACGACCAGGGCUACACACGUGCUACAAUGGCGCAUACAAAGAGAAGCGACCUCGCGAGAGCAA
Molecule: ribosomal RNA, 843 nt
Filed under: Salmonella enterica subsp. enterica serovar Typhimurium
Lineage: Bacteria; Pseudomonadati; Pseudomonadota; Gammaproteobacteria; Enterobacterales; Enterobacteriaceae
Description: bacterial SSU rRNA
Rfam family: Bacterial small subunit ribosomal RNA
Source: RNAcentral